This 534-nucleotide long non-coding RNA is filed under the name Physcomitrium patens. RNAcentral's name for it is "long non-coding RNA (PPAT_LNC009991)". Lineage: Eukaryota; Viridiplantae; Streptophyta; Bryopsida; Funariales; Funariaceae. The record is from RNAcentral.
AGGAUUUGAUUUAGGAUUUAGGAUUUUCUUAGGAUUUGGUUUAGGAUUUGGUUAGGAUUUGAUUCAGAAUUAGGAUUUUAUUUAGGAUUUAUAGUUUGGUUAGGAUUUUGUUAGAAUUUGAUUUAGGAUUUAGGAUUUGAUUUAGGAUUAGAAUUUAGGAUUUCAUAAAGAUUUGGUGUAGGAUUUAGAAUUUGGUUAGGAUUUGAUUUAGGAUUUAGGAUUUUAUUAGGAUUUAUUUAAGAUUUAAGAUUUAACUAGUUUUUGGCAUAAAAAUUGAAUGAAGUCUAAUAGGAUUUUAACUAGGAUUAAAUUAAGAUUGAAUUGAGAUGUAUUUGAGAUAUAUUUGUGAGCAUUUUAAUAUUUCUUUAAGUUUUCUUAUUGUUUCUUUAUAAUUCUUUUGAAUUUUCUUUUGAAUUUGAUUAAAGCUUACUUAGCAUUAUUAUGGUCUAAUUAGAGUUUGAUUAGUAUUCUAUUAGACUUAGGAUUUUGUUGUUGUAAUUUCCAUUCUACCUUCCAAUAUAACCCUCCCUUCUA